UCUCUCUCUUAGUCUACACAUAAAUCUAUCGUUGGUGUAUUAUCUUUGGUUCUAUCAGGAAGUUAUCAAGCCUCGAGAUAGAAUCAGCAAAUAAUAAUAUAUAUUUGACAGAGAGCGAGGUUUAUAUAAUAUAUUUAUUGCGGUCAUUUUGUACUUGACCAGUGGUACAUGCGAAUUACAUGGUAGAAAAAUCCUUUAAUACUCUACAAUGUACAAUGUGUGACAAAAUCUUGUUUUUCGGUCAAUGCAUUUUCUUGUUUCUCUCAAUAAAUCACUGGACCUACGAAAGAGCAAGAGAGAAAGAGAAUCAAAUCCAAAGAGAAACCAAGUUAGUUAUUCUUUUUUUCUUUCUACUCUUCGAAAAAGAUAACUGUCCAUUUGUCUUCACACUGUCAAGAAGAAAAACUUUCAAUCUUCUGCUUGGUUCGAAAUCGUAACAUGUAUUUACACCAUUGGUGUGGAAAUAUUGGCCAUAAUAGACGAUCAAAUAUUUCGAUGUUAAUGUCAUUCGAUUUCCUCGAAAACUUGGAGUAAAUCUGAGAUCUCACCUUUCGAAACAAAAAGUUUCCUCAUCUUUUUCUUGGUCAAUUUUUUCCAUCUUGAAAUGUCCAAAGAAUCGAGACAAUUAAUAUAAGUAAGCCGAGGUGAAGGUGGAUUAAGGAAGCAAUUUAAAUCUCAUCUUCAUCCUUUCCUUAAUUUCAAUCAGAACUUCAUGUAGUUUGAAUGAUGAUAAUGAUGAUGAUGAUGAUGGUUUCUCCUUGGAAAUUGGCAUAAUCAAUUGAUCAGUUAAAGAGAAAUGUUUUCCUGUCAGUGAGAAGUUUAAAAUUGUUACAAUUUGUUUAUCCACAAGGAACAAAAUAUUAAAGGUAAACACUCACGGAUUCAAUAAUAAUAACAAGCCAAUUGGAUGAGAGGUUAAAGGUUAUUGUUAUUGGCCUUUUCGCGUUUUGUUAACUACAAUCCAGAAGGAAGCAAAUGAUUUGAAAUAAAAGGAUCGUUAAUUGGAGUUAAAUGAGAUUUGAAAGCUCAAUCAUUAAGCGAAAAGAAAACGAGAAAAGUAACUCAAAGAAAAAAGGAAAGAGAACAAAAAAGUUUUAAAUUGAUUGCCCAAAGUUUUUUCGCUCUCUCAUUAGGAUUUUCUUUCUCUCGUUUUCGCUUAUUAUUAUUGUUUUUACUGGAAGAAAAAGGAAAAUUUAACAAUAAUAAUCGCCGGAGUAACAAAACGCUAUUGGAAAUGCACGUGAAAAAAUAACAAAGAGAAAAAUAUUAUCCACCAAAGAAGAGAGAAGGAAAUUUCCUCUCUCUCUCUCUCGAAACUUUUACAUAUUGGACAUGAUGAUGACCAAACCCUCGAGCUGUUUUCCUAUGGUUCAAGUGAAAGUAGAUCGUGCACACGAAAGGAAUAUCUCUCCUCCUCUCUUUCUCUCUCCCUCUCUUCAUCAUCCAUGUAGUGACCAGAAUAUCUCAUUAACCCUAUCACUGUCUUCACCAUCAACCGCAUAAACAUAACCAUCAUCAUCAUUAACCAUUUAAGUUCCUGGGCGGUCAUUUUAGACCCAUUUCUAAGCCCAUCGUUCCGUUGAAAUGAUUUGCUUGGCAAGACCCGUAAACACAAAAGUCUAUUAUGAUUGUUGUUUAACCUGCUUAAGAUAAUCUUUGUUUUUGGUCAAGGAAACAAACAAACCACAAAAACGUUAGAUGGACAUGGAUAAGUAGAUAAUAGAAAUGGAUAAAAUAACAAGAGAAUAUUUAGAAAAUAUUCUGUAAUAUUUUUGGCGUUUUCUCUCUCUCUCUCUCUCUCUUUCUCUUCCCAUUUUCUACUCCACCUCUACCUUCAUCAUCCUCCUUCAUCUUUUUCUUUUUUUCUUUCUCCUUCUUUCUUCAUAUUUCGCAUCAAUGGAUUCGUGAGUUGAUGAUGAAGCAAAACGGGAUAAAAGCAUUUACAAGGAAUAGACAAAAACAACAACAAACCCAACAUAUGGUCGACCUGAGGUCCAAUUUUAGGAGCUGAUUUUCUGUGAUAAAAAUGAUAUAAAAUGAAAAUGGUAAAGGUCGAUAGCGAUAAACUCAAUUCAUAGGCACGCAUCAGGAAGAUGAGGAGGAUGAGGAGGUGGAAGAGGAAGUAAAACAGCCGAUGAUGAUGAUGAUGAGGCCUUUUCGUUUCCUCCAAUGGUCAGUUUAUCACCAUUAUUUGUUUAAAGACCCUUUUAAAGAGAUGGUAAUUAAAGGGGAGGGAUGAUGAUGAUGAUGAUGGUGAUGGUCAUCUUUCAGAUAGAGAUGAUUAUGAUUACCGUUGGUGUAUAAAUGAAGGUAAAAGCUCAAUGGAGGACAGAGAUACAUGAAUCUGGCAAAGGAGAAACAAAAUAAUCUUUUAUGAAAAGAUGAUAAGUUUAUCAUCAUAAUGACUAUGAUGAUGAUGAUGAUGAUAAUGAUGAUGAUAGAAUAGAUAAUGUUUAUGAUGGUCAUUUGUGAAGGUAAAAAAUUCACUUCUCUUUUCUUUUUAAAUAAUAAUAGUAGUGAGAGAGUAAUGAUAAUGGUAAAAGUGAAUAGAUUACUAUCGGUAUGAGGGAGAAUCAUCAUCAUCUCUCUCUCUCUCUUUUAUCUUCAUUAUCAUCAACAUGAUGAUGAUCAUCAUUUAAAUGAUGAGGAGUUUACAUGUUCAUCAUCAUCUUUACUAGAAAAAAAAGUUACCAACACACAAAAGCAUAUGGAUGGUUUGGUUUGGUUAGUUGAAUGAAUGGGCGAUGAUGAUGAUGAUGAUGAUAAAAUAACACCAGCCCAAAGAGUAUCUGAGAAGAAGAAAAGAAAGAGAGAUGAUGAUGAUGAUAAUAUCUACAUAAUGUCAGGUCAGUUUUUCAAGUCUACAUGAUGAUGAUAAUCUUAUAAACGUUUACCCUCACCUCACCUUUUCAACAUUCACCUUCCGCCUUUAACCAAGUUACUCCCAAGACAUUUACUCAUGGACACAUUGGGCUACUCUGGGCGCACUCAAGUAAUAAUAGUCAAGUCGCAAAGUUAAUUGUAAGUCUAUGUCAAAACAAUGUUAAUCUCUGGGCACUAACCCUGAACAUAUGAUGGUGAUCACAUCAACAGUGAUCAACAUUUUACCAAGUAUAAAAAAAGAUGAGAGGAUAAGGAUUGGAAAAGUAAAGGAGAUAAUCUCACUGAUCUGUCUCUGUGUAAUAAUCAUGGUCGUCAAGGCAAACCAAUCACUCUGUGGAUAUGAUGAUGUAUUAUGUAGAUUGCGGAUGGAGAGGCAAAAAAUUGAGCAACCAUUUUGUUCUGGCAGGCCAAUAACACGACAAAAAGACAUCAAAUUGACGAGAAUGAAGAGCCUCCUGAUUGCUGAACUGAUUUGACUUUGACUGAAUUUUUAUCUCUCUCCAAUUGCUUUGAUUUUUUUACUGUUGAAGCCAAAAAAAAGGUAGAAACCGAAAAGAAGAAAAAAAAAGUUCUGAUAAUCAUCUAAAUGUAGGAUUUUUGAUCCAUCACAGAAUUGAUGUAAAGUGACAUGCACACUGUUUAUCAUUACGAUUCUCUCUUACUCUUCAGCGUCAUUUCCUUUCUGAUCUUCUAUCAGUUUUCUCAUCAUCAUCAUCAUCAUCUUCAUCUCCAUCAUAUAUAUGAGGAUAUUAAUCAUUUCCAUCUCAAUUCUAAUCAUUUUAUCAUUUUUCCUGCAAAUUGCUUAUGCACAAAAGCAGAAACAGCAAAAAAAAAAAAGGUUGAUUUGCAAAAAAAGUCCCAACAUUUGCUGUAAAAAUAAUAAUUAAUAUUGCAAAUGUUAAUUGCACUUGUUGAAACUGUUAAUUGUAAUUGUUUGCAAAAUAAUGUUUCAUUAUUUAAUUGUUACUAUUAAUAUUAUGUA
Molecule: long non-coding RNA, 3865 nt
Organism: Panonychus citri (citrus red mite)
Lineage: Eukaryota; Metazoa; Arthropoda; Arachnida; Trombidiformes; Tetranychidae
Exons: 6
Source: RefSeq, a predicted model, not a curated record